RNAcentral lists this ribosomal RNA (447 nucleotides) under uncultured bacterium. RNAcentral's name for it is "partial 16S ribosomal RNA". It matches the Rfam family "Bacterial small subunit ribosomal RNA", at positions 330 to 793 of the family's 1533-position model. The record is from RNAcentral.
GCCAGACUCCUACGGGAGGCAGCAGUGGGGGAUAUUGCACAAUGGGGGGAACCCUGAUGCAGCGACGCCGCGUGGGUGAAGGAGCGUUUCGGCGCGUAAAGCCCUAUCGGCAGGGAAGAAGGAGGACGGUACCUGACUAAGAAGCCCCGGCUAACUACGUGCCAGCAGCCGCGGUAAUACGUAGGGGGCAAGCGUUAUCCGGAUUUACUGGGUGUAAAGGGGGCGCAGACGGCAGCGCAAGCCAGGAGUGAAAGCCCGGGGCCCAACCCCGGGACUGCUCUUGGAACUGCGCGGCUGGAGUGCAGGAGGGGCAGGCGGAAUUCCUGGUGUAGCGGUGAAAUGCGUAGAUAUCAGGAGGAACACCGGUGGCGAAGGCGGCCUGCUGGACUGUGACUGACGUUGAGGCCCGAAGGCGUGGGGAGCAAACAGGAUUAGAUACCCCCGUAC